CCCAGACUCCUACGGGAGGCAGCAGUGGGGGAUAUUGCACAAUGGGGGAAACCCUGAUGCAGCGACGCCGCGUGGGCGAAGAAGUAUUUCGGUAUGUAAAGCCCUAUCAGCAGGGAAGAAGAAAUGACGGUACCUGAGUAAGAAGCACCGGCUAAAUACGUGCCAGCAGCCGCGGUAAUACGUAGGGGGCAAGCGUUAUCCGGAUUUACUGGGUGUAAAGGGGGCGCAGACGGCAGCGCAAGCCAGGAGUGAAAGCCCGGGGCCCAACCCCGGGACUGCUCUUGGAACUGCGCGGCUGGAGUGCAGGAGGGGCAGGCGGAAUUCCUGGUGUAGCGGUGAAAUGCGUAGAUAUCAGGAGGAACACCGGUGGCGAAGGCGGCCUGCUGGACUGCGACUGACGUUGAGGCCCGAAAGCGUGGGGAGCAAACAGGAUUAGAUACCCUGGUAC
RNAcentral lists this ribosomal RNA (448 nucleotides) under uncultured bacterium. RNAcentral describes it as "partial 16S ribosomal RNA". It matches the Rfam family "Bacterial small subunit ribosomal RNA", at positions 330 to 793 of the family's 1533-position model. The record is from RNAcentral.